RNAcentral lists this long non-coding RNA (470 nucleotides) under Ananas comosus (pineapple). RNAcentral's name for it is "long non-coding RNA (ACOM_LNC027102)". The record is from RNAcentral. Lineage: Eukaryota; Viridiplantae; Streptophyta; Magnoliopsida; Poales; Bromeliaceae.
UUGUCAAAAUUUAGCAUUUGAUCAUUACAAAAAAAUUUUCAAUAUAAAAAGAUGCUUUUUAUACAUAUUCAAGCAUUCCUACAAUAUAGCAAAUACUAACGCUUCAAAAAGUGUCAUUAUAGGCCUCUUUGUGUCAAAUCAAUUUGUUAAAUGAUAAAUUUUGCUAUUAUUUUUAAUUUUUCGGUGUUUUAAAGUGUCAGAGUUUUAAAAAUCUUGACACUUUAAAGCGUCGAAAUAGAUUUUAUCGACGGUUGGCAUAAGCGUCGGUAUAUAUGUGACGACUCUUCAUUUGCUGAUGCUUUAAUCAAUGCUUUCAAAUAUAACCUUAGACUAUAUUGGGACACUUUUAAACAUUGUUAAAUAAAAAAAAAUAUUCUUAAAUGCUAAUUUUUUUUGUAGUGGAUAUAUAUUCGUAUUCGAAUUCGUACUUGAAAAGAAAUUAAAAAACAAUAAAUGCGAAUAUGAUUUUU